UACGAAGGGGGCUAGCGUUGUUCGGAAUUACUGGGCGUAAAGCGUGCGCAGGCGGCUUCUCAAGUCAGGGGUGAAAGCCCAGAGCUCAACUCUGGAAUUGCCUUUGAGACUGAGUGGCUUGAGUACGAGAGAGGUGAGUGGAAUUCCCAGUGUAGAGGUGAAAUUCGUAGAUAUUGGGAAGAACACCGGUGGCGAAGGCGGCGCUCUGGACCGAGACUGACGCUGAGGCGCGAAAGCGUGGGGAGCAAACAGG
This 253-nucleotide ribosomal RNA is filed under the name uncultured bacterium. RNAcentral's name for it is "partial 16S ribosomal RNA". It matches the Rfam family "Bacterial small subunit ribosomal RNA", at positions 524 to 776 of the family's 1533-position model. The record is from RNAcentral.